This 423-nucleotide ribosomal RNA is filed under the name uncultured bacterium. RNAcentral describes it as "bacterial SSU rRNA". It matches the Rfam family "Bacterial small subunit ribosomal RNA", at positions 207 to 622 of the family's 1533-position model. The record is from RNAcentral.
AAGACCUUACGCUUUUGGAGCGGCCGAUGUCUGAUUAGCUUGUUGGUGAGGUAAAGGCUUACCAAGGCUUCGAUCAGUAGCUGGUCUGAGAGGACGACCAGCCACACUGGGACUGAGACACGGCCCAGACUCCUACGGGAGGCAGCAGUGGGGAAUUUUGGACAAUGGGGGAAACCCUGAUCCAGCCAUGCCGCGUGAGUGUAGAAGGCCUUCGGGCUGUAAAGCUCUUUCAGCCGGAACGAAACGGUUACGAUUAAUACCUGUAACUACUGACGGUACCGGAAGAAGAAGCACCGGCUAACUACGUGCCAGCAGCCGCGGUAAUACGUAGGGUGCGAGCGUUAAUCGGAAUUACUGGGCGUAAAGCGUGCGCAGGUGGUUUUGUAAGUCAGAUGUGAAAUCCCCGGGCUUAACCUGGGAACU